GCUGCCGGGGUUUCACAAGCUUCUAAGUAGGCAAUCAGAUCUGUAGGUUGAGUUUGUGUGGGAAUAAGGGUGGGGGUAACGUUUACUCAAAAAUGGAGUUACUUCGUGUUCAAGCAGAUGCCAUCUGUGCAGGAUGUCUGACAGCCUUCUUGUAAACACAGGAGGGUUUCUGCUGUGUCUGUGAUUCAUCUGCAAGUGAAUUCAUGUUUUGGAAUGGGAAGGGUACAGCUCUGGAAUGAGUCCAAAAUCCCUUUUCCACAACGGCUCCAUAUCAGCGUGACUUCUGAUCCUGAGCAUCAAUUACCUCUGAGAAUGUUACCCCUGCAUUCCAAAAGGAAAUGAUAGCAUCAUUACAUUUCUUGACAGUAUGUACCUGGCUGGGGCAUCUGAGCACAUGUAACGCUUUAAAUGGACACACUUGAAAACAAA
Long non-coding RNA from Gallus gallus (chicken), 429 nucleotides. RefSeq lists it as uncharacterized. The record is from RefSeq and is a predicted model, not a curated record. NCBI's taxonomy places the organism in Eukaryota, Metazoa, Chordata, Aves, Galliformes, Phasianidae. The transcript is spliced from 2 exons.